UUGGGUUAAGUCCCGCAACGAGCGCAACCCUUGUCUUUAGUUGCCAUCAUUAAAGUUGGGCACUCUAAAGAGACUGCCGGUGUCAAACCGGAGGAAGGUGGGAUGACGUCAAGUCCUCAUGGCCUUUACGACCAGGGCUACACACGUACUACAAUGGCAGGUACAAAGGGCAGCCACUUAGCGAUAAGGCGCGAAUCCCAUAAAACCUGUCUCAGUCCGGAUUGGGGGUCUGCAACUCGACUCCAUGAAGUUGGAAUCGCUAGUAAUCGCAGAUCAGCACGCUGCGGUGAAUACGCUCCCGGGCCUU
Molecule: ribosomal RNA, 307 nt
Filed under: uncultured Desulfocapsa sp.
Lineage: Bacteria; Pseudomonadati; Thermodesulfobacteriota; Desulfobulbia; Desulfobulbales; Desulfocapsaceae
Description: bacterial SSU rRNA
Rfam family: Bacterial small subunit ribosomal RNA
Source: RNAcentral